GAUGAACGCUGGCGGCGUGCCUAAUACAUGCAAGUCGAGCGAACAGACGAGGAGCUUGCUCCUCUGACGUUAGCGGCGGACGGGUGAGUAACACGUGGAUAACCUACCUAUAAGACUGGGAUAACUUCGGGAAACCGGAGCUAAUACCGGAUAAUAUAUUGAACCGCAUGGUUCAAUAGUGAAAGACGGUUUUGCUGUCACUUAUAGAUGGAUCCGCGCCGCAUUAGCUAGUUGGUAAGGUAACGGCUUACCAAGGCAACGAUGCGUAGCCGACCUGAGAGGGUGAUCGGCCACACUGGAACUGAGACACGGUCCAGACUCCUACGGGAGGCAGCAGUAGGGAAUCUUCCGCAAUGGGCGAAAGCUUGACGGAGCAACGCCGCGUGAGUGAUGAAGGUCUUCGGAUCGUAAAGCUCUGUUAUUAGGGAAGAACAAAUGUGUAAGUAACUAUGCACGCCUUGACGGUACCUAAUCAGAAAGCCACGGCUAACUACGUG
This 497-nucleotide ribosomal RNA is filed under the name uncultured bacterium. RNAcentral describes it as "partial 16S ribosomal RNA". It matches the Rfam family "Bacterial small subunit ribosomal RNA", at positions 28 to 507 of the family's 1533-position model. The record is from RNAcentral.